ACGGGAGGCAGCAGUGGGGAAUAUUGCACAAUGGGGGAAACCCUGAUGCAGCGACGCCGCGUGAGUGAAGAAGUAUUUCGGUAUGUAAAGCUCUAUCAGCAGGGAAGAAAAUGACGGUACCUGACUAAGAAGCCCCGGCUAACUACGUGCCAGCAGCCGCGGUAAUACGUAGGGGGCAAGCGUUAUCCGGAUUUACUGGGUGUAAAGGGAGCGUAGACGGCAGAGCAAGUCUGAAGUGAAAGCCCGGGGCUCAACUCCGGGACUGCUUUGGAAACUGCCCAGCUAGAGUGCAGGAGGGGCAAGCGGAAUUCCUAGUGUAGCGGUGAAAUGCGUAGAUAUUAGGAGGAACACCAGUGGCGAAGGCGGCUUGCUGGACGACAACUGACGCUGAGGCGCGAAAGCGUGGGGAGCAAACAGGAUUAGAUACCCUGGUA
This 434-nucleotide ribosomal RNA is filed under the name uncultured Clostridium sp. Its description in RNAcentral is "partial 16S ribosomal RNA". It matches the Rfam family "Bacterial small subunit ribosomal RNA", at positions 341 to 792 of the family's 1533-position model. Lineage: Bacteria; Bacillati; Bacillota; Clostridia; Eubacteriales; Clostridiaceae. The record is from RNAcentral.